Molecule: ribosomal RNA, 301 nt
Filed under: uncultured bacterium
Lineage: Bacteria
Description: partial 16S ribosomal RNA
Rfam family: Bacterial small subunit ribosomal RNA
Source: RNAcentral
CAGUAGCCGCGGUAAUACGUAGGUGGCAAGCGUUGUCCGGAAUUAUUGGGCGUAAAGGGCUCGCAGGCGGUUUCUUAAGUCUGAUGUGAAAGCCCCCGGCUCAACCGGGGAGGGUCAUUGGAAACUGGGAAACUUGAGUGCAGAAGAGGAGAGUGGAAUUCCACGUGUAGCGGUGAAAUGCGUAGAGAUGUGGAGGAACACCAGUGGCGAAGGCGACUCUCUGGUCUGUAGCUGACGCUGAGGAGCGAAAGCGUGGGGAGCGAACAGGAUUAGAUACCCCGGUAGUCCCUGUCUCUUAUAC